This 294-nucleotide ribosomal RNA is filed under the name uncultured bacterium. RNAcentral's name for it is "partial 16S ribosomal RNA". It matches the Rfam family "Bacterial small subunit ribosomal RNA", at positions 775 to 1067 of the family's 1533-position model. The record is from RNAcentral.
GGAUUAGAUACCCUGGUAGUCCACGCCGUAAACGAUGGACACUUGGUGUUGGAGGUAUUGACCCCUUCAGUGCCGAAGCUAACGCGUUAAGUGUCCCGCCUGGGGAGUACGGUCGCAAGAUUAAAACUCAAAGAAAUUGACGGGGGCCCGCACAAGCGGUGGAGCAUGUGGUUUAAUUCGAUGCAACGCGCAAAACCUUACCUAGCCUUGACAUGUACCGGACGGUUACCAGAAAUGGUGCCUUUCUUCGGAACUGGUACACAGGUGCUGCAUGGCUGUCGUCAGCUCGUGCCG